AGGAGCUGCAGAGUUCCUCGCUGUCGCUGCUGCUGCUGUGCCCCAGCUCAGCUGUCAAUAAGAACAAGGGCAAGUAUAUCCUGACCCCAAGCCCCAUCACCUACGGGGAGGAGCAGCUGCUGCACUUCCUGGGGCAGCUGCUGGGGAUUGCAAUUCGGGCAGAUGUCCCGCUGCCCCUGGACCUCCUGCCCUCCUUCUGGAAGACGCUGGUGGGCGAGCCCUUGGACCCUGAGCAAGACCUGCAGGAAGCGGAUAUCCUCACCUACAAUUACGUCAAGAAGUUUGAGAGCGUGAGUGCAAGGCACAGUUCUGGGGGGCUGCAGAACCCGGGGCCUCCCCGCCACCUUGCUUAGGCCUCCAUGCAGACCCGAGCUCCCUGCUGAGGCUGGGUUGGGAUCCCACAGAGGACCUUAGGGGUGUGAGCCAUGUGCCAGGAAGGCUUGUUUCAUGGGGACAGAGGCCUCUGGCCUCCCUCCCUGCUGGCAGCAGAGAUUGGAGGUGACACGACCAGCCCUGCUGGCCCUCCCCUCCCACAUUGGUGCUCGUUGCCUGGCCAUGGGCAAGGGCUCCUGGAGUUGAGUGAACAGGCACUGGGAGAACAGCUGUAGGGGUGAAGGCUAAGAGUUUUUUUCAGGGACUCAGAGCACAGGAGUCAGCCCUGGGACCACCUGAGGUCCACCAAGGGGGAGGCGUCAGGAUGGAGCCCUUCCUGCCUGUCCAGGGCAUGCGUACGCCACGCACAGAUGUUGACAGCAUGGUGCUGUUGCCCAGUGCCCCCCUGGAGGGAGAUGGGGUCCACAGUCCCUCCGUUCACUCAGUGGCCGUCACUGAGGCCCAGUCACGGGCCAACCAGGCUCUGGGCACUCGCCCUGUCCUCAGGGAGUGUCCAGGCUCGUCUCCUUCGUGUUGGAGGGCGGAGGGCUUUAUUCCAUCAUCACAAGGCCAGGAGGAAAGUGAGGCUCACCAAAGGGGGGUGACUUGCCUGGGCCCUCACAGCUGGCAGGGAGCAGAGCCACCAGGAGCCCAGGGCUGACUGCUGUGACUUCCGGGCUCUCCAGCACCACAUGCCCUGCAGCUGAGAGAGCCAUCCUGGCUGAGUGUGGAGGGCAACGUCCCACCCAGCGCCCCUCAAGGCCACGAGAGUGGACGUCGUGCCUGAGGCCCGGCAGAAGCUGCUCUCUCCUGGGCCUCAGGUGAAGGAGGUGCCAGCUGCUUCUGCCUAUGCCGGCAGAAUACUCCAUGGCCAACUGAGGCACUGCUUGGCCAGGUCUCUGGUCUCUGCCAUUGUCCCCCUGGGUCACUCAGGGCAGCCAUUGCAAGACAAUAGCAGAGCCAGAGUCCCGGAUGCCAGUGGCUUCUCGGUAGAAACAGGGAUGACAAGGCAUUGUCUAAAGGGUGGAAGAACACCCACAGUGGGCUGGGGGUUU
Molecule: small RNA, 1427 nt
Filed under: Pan troglodytes (chimpanzee)
Lineage: Eukaryota; Metazoa; Chordata; Mammalia; Primates; Hominidae
Description: retained intron
Source: RNAcentral